Molecule: long non-coding RNA, 469 nt
Organism: Hippocampus zosterae (dwarf seahorse)
Lineage: Eukaryota; Metazoa; Chordata; Actinopteri; Syngnathiformes; Syngnathidae
Exons: 3
Source: RefSeq, a predicted model, not a curated record
GCGAACGACACAUCACUAGUGCCUACUGCUAUUCCCAACUUGAUACACCCAUGAUCGUCGUUGUAACCCUGACGAUAUUCAGGUAAUUGGUAGCUAGUUUACCAUGACGCAUGUUAGGUGUUAAUUUUGGACUGAUGAUUAAUUAUUUGAAUGGUAUUUGUAGAGCAAAAUAUUGUGGUUUGGAGCUUGAAAUCUACCACUAGUGAGUCGCGUGAACAGCUGUACAGCAGGGGAGAUCAUUUGUGUUUUUCCACAUGCUUUGUUUGCACCCAAAACACCGGGACGUAUUGACAAGCCACUGCUGUUGUCUAUUAUGGUGUAAUUGUCUUUAAUCUGUUAGAUACUCUUCUUUAAUCUCUUAGCUCCCUUUUCCAACGCUUUUAAAAUUCAGUUAACGUCUCACUCAGUCUUUCCUCUUAAUGCUGUACAAUUUUUCAUUGUCCAGUCGGGAAUAAAGCCCACAUAAAAA